UACGUAGGUGGCAAGCGUUGUCCGGAAUUAUUGGGCGUAAAGCGCGCACAGGCGGCCUUUUAAGUCUGAUGUGAAAGCCCCCGGCUCAACCGGGGAGGGUCAUUGGAAACUGGAAGGCUUGAGUGCAGAAGAGAAGAGCGGAAUUCCACGUGUAGCGGUGAAAUGCGUAGAGAUGUGGAGGAACACCAGUGGCGAAGGCGGCUCUUUGGUCUGUAACUGACGCUGAGGCGCGAAAGCGUGGGGAGCAAACAGG
Molecule: ribosomal RNA, 253 nt
Filed under: uncultured bacterium
Lineage: Bacteria
Description: partial 16S ribosomal RNA
Rfam family: Bacterial small subunit ribosomal RNA
Source: RNAcentral